Long non-coding RNA from Hirundo rustica (Barn swallow), 3570 nucleotides. RefSeq lists it as uncharacterized. Lineage: Eukaryota; Metazoa; Chordata; Aves; Passeriformes; Hirundinidae. The transcript is spliced from 3 exons. The record is from RefSeq and is a predicted model, not a curated record.
ACUCAGGCAGCCGGGGCGAGAAGCCCGCGGUGAGCACUGCCCUGGUGCCGUGGCCUUCAGUAGCGCUGAGCUGAUGUCUGGCUGGGCAUCGUGCCUGUACCCUUCUAUAUGCAGUUUCCACAUCAACGCAACGGAAGCUGCUGGGGAGGAGCCACCUCAGUUUGAUCUCUGGUGCUCAGCCUCCAUGGACAGAUCUGGCAGUGCACUUGAACAGGGCUGCAAAGAUAACGUUCUGCAGGAUUGAGUGCUCCCCUGCAGCAUCCUCAGGCUAUUUGGGGUGAGGAGGAUGGUUGAUCUCCCUGCCUCAGAGCACAGCACAUCUCCAGCAGACAUGGCUGUUGGGCACUGAUGGAAGACAAGAGGCUAACGAGAAGGGAGAAGGCACUGAAAGCCUCUCCAGGGUGGACAUACUGAGAAAGACUCUUCCUCCUUCAUCUUCACAAAUGUACAGAAGAAAACAAACUGAUGCUUCUCUGCUUCUGCCGCUCUCUGGAUUUCAGAGAUGACUGUUGUGACAUUUCCCUACUCAGAAGUGGCCAAGACAGAAUGUCACUUUAUUCCUUCCCCGUUUCCUCUAGCUGAAACCUGCUGCUGCAGAAGACCUCAGCAGCGAGUCACUACUCCAUCUGCUGUCUGGAGGAGGCCAUUCAUCUUCAAAGGGAACAACAGACUUUUCAGUGACUUUUCUCCUGAGGGAUCAGGUGCUGACAGAACACUCUCCUUAGCCAAACUCAGGCUUUCAAGGACAGUUUUGGUUGCUUGUUAACCUCUAAAGCAAUAUAGUAUAAAAAUAACCAGGAAAGAACAAUCUGUUGAUCUGGACCAGCUUUUCUCUUCAGAGUUGACUUAAAAGGAAGGGUCAGAGGGUGAGCAGAGAGGAAUGGCUUUCCCUUUCCCAGGUAUCUCACUGUUCCAGAGGUGGGAUAGUGGCCUGUGGGAGUCUGCACAUGCUGUGACUCCUGUGGCCUGCUCUGCAGGGCAGACGUGUUACUGAGCUUGGUUUUCACUUCAAGUGGAGUGCUAAGGUGCUAAAUAUGGAGGUGUGUGAGGAAGCCUUCCCCAAACAAAGCUCCCUUACAGGAAAAGAGCUGAUAAUCUUUGGAGUCUGCUACAGAUUUAGCACCUAGCUGGCAGCUGAAGGUGAGAAAGACAGGUCUGGGCAGCUGCACAGGACACGGGGCUGGGAAAGGGCACAGCUAUGCCCUGAGUACCUGAUGAGCAGGCUUUGAGAUUAUCCAAGGAGCUGUGCUACCUGAUGAGGAGCAGGAGCCUGUGGACAGCUGGAUUUUCAGCCUGUUACUGUCUCUGUCGAGACACAGGUGCUGAGAUGCUUCUCACUGCUGGGCUCUUGAGCUUUCAGCUGGGCACCUGUCCAGCUAUCCAUCACUCCUUGGAUCUGGUCCAUGGGAAACCAAAUGUGAUCUGAGGGUUUGCCACUGCGGUGGAGAUAUCAAACAGACACCUGGCAUUUAAUACAAGCUGAGGGGAAGUUGGGCUGAAAAUAGAACUGGGCAGUGCCUUGAGUGCUUUGAGUCUGUGCUGGGGCUUCUGCCUGGGGCCAUGGCCCUGUGGAUCAGCUCAAGGCAGAACCAGCUGUUUGGGUGUAACUGUAGAAAAAUUGAUGUGGGGCAGCUCAGAACCUCACGUGAAUUGGAAGCCAGUGCGAGGUUUUCUUUUUUCCCCAGGAUUUGAUCACGUGAGGAACAAUGGAGUGAGCGCUUCCGCGCUUUGUGGUACGACUGACAGAUAGUGCAGAGGAGGUGAGGCUGGCUUUGUUUUCAGCUGUGAAACCCAGGAAGGGAUAUGUUCUUUGUGAAUUAAUUAAUCUGGAGAAAAGGCAGUUUAACUAUUCGACAAAAGAUUCAUUUCCACCCACUUCCCAGCUGGCAGCUUAGCCAUGGACUGUCAGAUUUCCAUCAGCCUCCAACGUUCCGACUGAAAUAGCAAUUUUUGCUUGGCAGGCCAGAGAGUAACAGUUGUGAGCCCUGUGCUGCUUGUGGGUAACAGGUAAGGGAGGUAGGACAAGGUUCUGCCCUGCUCCAGGCAGGGCUGGUUGGUGCUGCAUGGCUCAUUUGGAAGAUGCCAUGAGCAGGAGCUGAACUUGAAUCCCUCCGAGUAGAGAUUUGAGUUUGUUUCCUAGGCUAGUGGGUUUCAGGGAUUCUUCCCUUGACCUUAUUGUGAAUGGGGGGAGGUGAAAGCAUCCUUCAGCCCAAGGGAAGCAUUUUUCAUGUGGAUUGUUCGGUGUCUCAGCAGCACAGCAAUCAGGGAGAAGGGAGAGUUAGUGUAGUGCCCAGUGGCAAUCUCAGACAGGCACAGAAGCUGAGGAAAAUCAUAAUCACAAAGCCAUCAGUCUGCUAACAAGAGCUGGGGGAGGAAACCUCAGAUGAAAUCCUAGUUUGUAAUAGCACACAGCAGAUACCUGCUGGAUUCCUGCAGUUGGGACUCAGCCCAGGAAAGGUGUGUGCUGCCAUUUCAGAGGCUAUUGGGAUGUAAAAACUCCAGCUUCCUUCCAAAUAUUUGCAAGCCUUGAGUCAGGCCUACCAAAGAGAACUGUGAGGGAGACAUUUCCAUCCCUGUGACACACCCACAGCAGGUCUCAUCCCUCAGUGAUAGAGCUGACUGUGUCACCUGUUGCCAGUAAAAGGAGUGCCAGCAGAGCAGUGGCUUUCCUGUGCAUGUCACUGCUAUCAACAGAGCAAAGAUGUCUCUAAAUAGCACAGGAAUGUUUAGCAAUUGUGGUCUCAUGUGAAAAGUUCAAGCUGUAUUUCAAGGACAGAAGGUUUUUUGAGAAGGAAGAGAUCAAAUCCCCAAGGAGUGGUUGUAAAAUGCCACUGUGAGUGCCCCCCAAAUGCCUUCGGCACAUUCUGCUGAAGUGACAUGCUGCAGCUUGUGUCUGUGUGAUGAGAAAAGGACACAAGGGUACAGAGCUGGGACCCUGAGCAACCUUACACAUGAUAAAUACCACAAGGUAAUGGCAAAAUGAUCUUUAUUCUGUGUAAAACACAGAAAAAGAGGGCAUCAGCCAAUCCUUGGGUGCAGUUAGCAGGAACCUGAGAACAAACUGUGCAAGACACAUUUACAGUUGUGAAUAUUUGCUGCUCUGUCAAGACUGAGGGCUCCUUAGGAGUCAGUGUCUGCUGAGAUUUAAACAAAUAUGCUACUGCAGCCCCUCUGAAGACUGACCUGGGAGUUGCACAGAAACACCCGGCUGAGGUGUUUCGGGGAAGGGGAAGGAGUUGGAAGGAAAAAGCAAGAAGAAGAACCUGUGUAUCUCAGACAAGACUGACCUAAGCCCAGUGAAUCUAGAUCUGUUCAUCCCUCAGCUGCCUAAAAGCAGAAAGUGCUUUUUAAAAUUCCUUUUGUCAGCUCUGGCAUUUUGAUUUUCAUCUGCAAUGUCACCCUGGAGGCAUAAACUACAAACUCCAGUCUCUACAAAGCUGAGGCUCUGCAAGUGUCCUCCCAUUACUGGGAUUCACUUUUUUGCUUGAGUAACAGGUGGUGCAAGCUUGGGAGGGAGCUGUGGGCAGUGCAGUGGGAGAGGUGGGUUUGGAACCUGCCCAGGGCAAAGUG